RNAcentral lists this ribosomal RNA (2904 nucleotides) under Escherichia coli. RNAcentral describes it as "23S ribosomal RNA". It matches the Rfam family "Bacterial large subunit ribosomal RNA". Lineage: Bacteria; Pseudomonadati; Pseudomonadota; Gammaproteobacteria; Enterobacterales; Enterobacteriaceae. The record is from RNAcentral.
GGUUAAGCGACUAAGCGUACACGGUGGAUGCCCUGGCAGUCAGAGGCGAUGAAGGACGUGCUAAUCUGCGAUAAGCGUCGGUAAGGUGAUAUGAACCGUUAUAACCGGCGAUUUCCGAAUGGGGAAACCCAGUGUGAUUCGUCACACUAUCAUUAACUGAAUCCAUAGGUUAAUGAGGCGAACCGGGGGAACUGAAACAUCUAAGUACCCCGAGGAAAAGAAAUCAACCGAGAUUCCCCCAGUAGCGGCGAGCGAACGGGGAGCAGCCCAGAGCCUGAAUCAGUGUGUGUGUUAGUGGAAGCGUCUGGAAAGGCGUGCGAUACAGGGUGACAGCCCCGUACACAAAAAUGCACAUGCUGUGAGCUCGAUGAGUAGGGCGGGACACGUGGUAUCCUGUCUGAAUAUGGGGGGACCAUCCUCCAAGGCUAAAUACUCCUGACUGACCGAUAGUGAACCAGUACCGUGAGGGAAAGGCGAAAAGAACCCCGGCGAGGGGAGUGAAAAAGAACCUGAAACCGUGUACGUACAAGCAGUGGGAGCACGCUUAGGCGUGUGACUGCGUACCUUUUGUAUAAUGGGUCAGCGACUUAUAUUCUGUAGCAAGGUUAACCGAAUAGGGGAGCCGAAGGGAAACCGAGUCUUAACUGGGCGUUAAGUUGCAGGGUAUAGACCCGAAACCCGGUGAUCUAGCCAUGGGCAGGUUGAAGGUUGGGUAACACUAACUGGAGGACCGAACCGACUAAUGUUGAAAAAUUAGCGGAUGACUUGUGGCUGGGGGUGAAAGGCCAAUCAAACCGGGAGAUAGCUGGUUCUCCCCGAAAGCUAUUUAGGUAGCGCCUCGUGAAUUCAUCUCCGGGGGUAGAGCACUGUUUCGGCAAGGGGGUCAUCCCGACUUACCAACCCGAUGCAAACUGCGAAUACCGGAGAAUGUUAUCACGGGAGACACACGGCGGGUGCUAACGUCCGUCGUGAAGAGGGAAACAACCCAGACCGCCAGCUAAGGUCCCAAAGUCAUGGUUAAGUGGGAAACGAUGUGGGAAGGCCCAGACAGCCAGGAUGUUGGCUUAGAAGCAGCCAUCAUUUAAAGAAAGCGUAAUAGCUCACUGGUCGAGUCGGCCUGCGCGGAAGAUGUAACGGGGCUAAACCAUGCACCGAAGCUGCGGCAGCGACGCUUAUGCGUUGUUGGGUAGGGGAGCGUUCUGUAAGCCUGCGAAGGUGUGCUGUGAGGCAUGCUGGAGGUAUCAGAAGUGCGAAUGCUGACAUAAGUAACGAUAAAGCGGGUGAAAAGCCCGCUCGCCGGAAGACCAAGGGUUCCUGUCCAACGUUAAUCGGGGCAGGGUGAGUCGACCCCUAAGGCGAGGCCGAAAGGCGUAGUCGAUGGGAAACAGGUUAAUAUUCCUGUACUUGGUGUUACUGCGAAGGGGGGACGGAGAAGGCUAUGUUGGCCGGGCGACGGUUGUCCCGGUUUAAGCGUGUAGGCUGGUUUUCCAGGCAAAUCCGGAAAACUAAGGCUGAGGCGUGAUGACGAGGCACUACGGUGCUGAAGCAACAAAUGCCCUGCUUCCAGGAAAAGCCUCUAAGCAUCAGGUAACAUCAAAUCGUACCCCAAACCGACACAGGUGGUCAGGUAGAGAAUACCAAGGCGCUUGAGAGAACUCGGGUGAAGGAACUAGGCAAAAUGGUGCCGUAACUUCGGGAGAAGGCACGCUGAUAUGUAGGUGAAGCGACUUGCUCGUGGAGCUGAAAUCAGUCGAAGAUACCAGCUGGCUGCAACUGUUUAUUAAAAACACAGCACUGUGCAAACACGAAAGUGGACGUAUACGGUGUGACGCCUGCCCGGUGCCGGAAGGUUAAUUGAUGGGGUCAGCGCAAGCGAAGCUCUUGAUCGAAGCCCCGGUAAACGGCGGCCGUAACUAUAACGGUCCUAAGGUAGCGAAAUUCCUUGUCGGGUAAGUUCCGACCUGCACGAAUGGCGUAAUGAUGGCCAGGCUGUCUCCACCCGAGACUCAGUGAAAUUGAACUCGCUGUGAAGAUGCAGUGUACCCGCGGCAAGACGGAAAGACCCCGUGAACCUUUACUAUAGCUUGACACUGAACAUUGAGCCUUGAUGUGUAGGAUAGGUGGGAGGCUUGGAAGUGUGGACGCCAGUCUGCAUGGAGCCGACCUUGAAAUACCACCCUUUAAUGUUUGAUGUUCUAACGUUGACCCGUAAUCCGGGUUGCGGACAGUGUCUGGUGGGUAGUUUGACUGGGGCGGUCUCCUCCUAAAGAGUAACGGAGGAGCACGAAGGUUGGCUAAUCCUGGUCGGACAUCAGGAGGUUAGUGCAAUGGCAUAAGCCAGCUUGACUGCGAGCGUGACGGCGCGAGCAGGUGCGAAAGCAGGUCAUAGUGAUCCGGUGGUUCUGAAUGGAAGGGCCAUCGCUCAACGGAUAAAAGGUACUCCGGGGAUAACAGGCUGAUACCGCCCAAGAGUUCAUAUCGACGGCGGUGUUUGGCACCUCGAUGUCGGCUCAUCACAUCCUGGGGCUGAAGUAGGUCCCAAGGGUAUGGCUGUUCGCCAUUUAAAGUGGUACGCGAGCUGGGUUUAGAACGUCGUGAGACAGUUCGGUCCCUAUCUGCCGUGGGCGCUGGAGAACUGAGGGGGGCUGCUCCUAGUACGAGAGGACCGGAGUGGACGCAUCACUGGUGUUCGGGUUGUCAUGCCAAUGGCACUGCCCGGUAGCUAAAUGCGGAAGAGAUAAGUGCUGAAAGCAUCUAAGCACGAAACUUGCCCCGAGAUGAGUUCUCCCUGACUCCUUGAGAGUCCUGAAGGAACGUUGAAGACGACGACGUUGAUAGGCCGGGUGUGUAAGCGCAGCGAUGCGUUGAGCUAACCGGUACUAAUGAACCGUGAGGCUUAACCUU